This is a long non-coding RNA of Maniola jurtina (meadow brown), 741 nucleotides long. RefSeq lists it as uncharacterized. The record is from RefSeq and is a predicted model, not a curated record. The transcript is spliced from 2 exons. NCBI's taxonomy places the organism in Eukaryota, Metazoa, Arthropoda, Insecta, Lepidoptera, Nymphalidae.
UUCAAUGCUGUUUCAAAACAAAUUGAAUUGUAAUUAGUUUUUUCUCGUUUUUCUGUAGGUAAGGCUUACACUUAACAUGAGUCGCCACGCCUGCUGAUUGUGAAAAAAUACAGCUAAUUAUUGUUAAAUCAUUUUUAGAGUUAAAUCUAUCAAUAUUUAUGUGUAAACAUUAGAUAAAUUUAUAUCAAUUAUAAUGGAAGUAAAUAAAGCAAUUAAACUGAUUAUUUGGAUGGUGUUAAUUAAUCAUAAUGAAAGUGUGAGUGUGUUACCUAAACCCAUACAGAAAUACAUAUAUGGAUACUUAUGCGGAUCAGAUUUCGAAAACUACGCAACGAGAAUUCUAUUUUGGCAGGCACAGAAAAGGAAACCUACACUUUCCGUGCUACACGAGGGUAAAUGCAAAAAAAUAUGCCAAAUCUAUGCCCCUGUUUGCGCUAACAACGGGAAAACGUAUCACAAUGAAUGCCAGCUGGAAUAUGCGAUGAAAAAAUAUGAUAACAGACUCCGGGCGAAAUAUAAGGGACGUUGCUCUCCAUUCAAAGUCUUGUCUGGAUCAUCUGAUAGCAAUCAAAAUCUAUUUCACUUUGAUUAUUACUUCGGAACAACAGAUGAAGAUCCUUACUCUAGAGAUUGCCUAAUUCACUGCUGAAAUGUAGCAAUAAUUUAACACUGAAUGUAUCUUUGAGAUAAUUAUAAAAUAUUAUGUCAUUUACUUAAAUAAAACAAUAGUUACUUUAAAAA